GCACUGCUAAAGAGUCCGACAAUAGGACGAAACGGCCGUCCAAUGC
This 46-nucleotide non-coding RNA is filed under the name Schistosoma margrebowiei. Lineage: Eukaryota; Metazoa; Platyhelminthes; Trematoda; Strigeidida; Schistosomatidae. The record is from RNAcentral.